This 249-nucleotide long non-coding RNA is filed under the name Homo sapiens (human). Its description in RNAcentral is "HSALNT0166613". Lineage: Eukaryota; Metazoa; Chordata; Mammalia; Primates; Hominidae. The record is from RNAcentral.
GCUCAAUAGCAAUAACCAAAGCAUUCACAAUCUCUGACCCAAUGCAUUGGCAACAUCAUCAACUCUACCAGACCACCAGAAGUAGCCGUCUUCAUCCAUGAUCCCUCUGUCACCUGUGAGCUAGAAACAAGAGUAAUGAUGGCACUUCACUCAGAGGUUUGUCCUGAGGCUUAAAUGAGGCAACAUGGACACAGCAUUUUAGCACAAGGCCAGGUGGUGAAGCCCCCUAAUGUCCUGACUCCACAGUUC